AGGGGUUUUUCGUUAAAUACUUAGUUUGAGGGUUUUUACCAAAAAAAAACUUAGUUGAGGGGUUUUAAAGUUAAAAAUCCUAUUAUUAAUAUCUCGUGGAAAAGAGUACAUCCAUAUUAUAUACUAAUAUAUGUUUAAGAUUUAAAUUCAAGUGUGGGGUUUAAGAUUUAAAAUAAUAAGUUUAAAUAUUUUCAAAAAAUAUUUUUUUUGAAUUUCAAAAUAAAAUUUGAAAAAAAGUUUGAAAAAAUUGGAAAAAGUUUGAAUAUUGAAUAAAGUUUUUUUCGAAAAAAACUAUUUUUACUUUUUAUUAUUGAUUUAAAUAGUUAUUUAUUUACAAAUCUAUAGAGUAAGGUGUAAUUGUCAGUUACUUUUUUAAUAAAAUUUAUUUUAGUUAUUUUUGUGUGUUUUUUUGGUAAUUUUUUUUUUUUUUUUGAAAAUUUGCUCUAUCAGUUACAUCAAAAACGAAAAAGAUUAAUUACAACUGGCUUGGUUGCUUCAACCAAGGAAUCAGUGAUAAAUUCAUAUCUUCAUUUGAAAUAUGUACCAAGUUUAUUUCAAAUUAAGAAAAAUCUAUAUAUAAUAGCAAACAUGUUUUCUUCAACCGCUGAUGUCAUCAUUUUGAAGGAAAAAAAAU
Molecule: long non-coding RNA, 634 nt
Filed under: Brassica rapa (field mustard)
Lineage: Eukaryota; Viridiplantae; Streptophyta; Magnoliopsida; Brassicales; Brassicaceae
Description: long non-coding RNA (BRAP_LNC007676)
Source: RNAcentral